This 551-nucleotide ribosomal RNA is filed under the name uncultured bacterium. RNAcentral's name for it is "bacterial SSU rRNA". It matches the Rfam family "Bacterial small subunit ribosomal RNA", at positions 472 to 1022 of the family's 1533-position model. The record is from RNAcentral.
AUUGUCCCCUCCUAGUAAGCACCGCCUAACUACCCGCCAGCCGCCGCGGUAAUACGUAUGGCGCCAGACUUGUCUGUAUUUACUGGGUGUAAAGGGUGCUCCGGUGGGUUUGUAAGUCAGAGGUGAAAUCCCAAAGCUUAACUUUGGAGCUGCCUUUGAUACUGCAAGUCUGGAGUUUGAGAGAGGGCAAUGGAAUAUCUGGUGUAGCAGUGAAAUGCGUAGAUAUUAGAUAGAACACCAAUGGCGAAGGCAGUUGCCUGGCUCAAAACUGACGCUAAAGCACGAAAGUGUGGGGAGCAAACAGGAUUAGAUACCCUGGUAGUCCACACCCUAAACGAUGAAUACUAGAUGUUGGUCCUUUUUAGGAUCAGUAUCCAAGCUAACGCAUUAAGUAUUCCACCUGGGAAGUACAAUCGCAAGGUUGAAACUCAAAGGAAUUGACGGGGGCCCGCACAAGCAGUGGAGCAUGUGGUUUAAUUCGACGCAACGCGAAGAACCUUACCUAGGCUUGAAACGCAAGUUAAUCCUGAUGAAAGUCAGGGUUCCGCAAG